GGGGGCGAAAGGGCUCGACGUGAUGCAGGACGUGUCCAGAUAGCGAGUCGAGAUCGCCGGUAUCUCGUGAAACACGGCAAAAAACACAAACGCCGAACCAACGGCUCUGGCUGCCUAAACAGCAGUCCGAGGCUACCAUAGAGUAGCCAUGUCUGCCUCGUCUUGCCGAUCGGGCGGGACCAGGCAUAAUGCAGAUCGGCUACCCGGGCGCACGUGGCUCCAACGGGCGUUUUGGGGAAAUCUAAGAGUGAGCAGGUCGAGCAGGCUUGGGUGUGCGUGGGCGGCUCGUCCAACUAAACGCACACUACACUCGUAGAAGUCUUGGCACUCCCAUUGCGGACGCGGGUUCAAUUCCCGCCGCCUCCACCA
This 369-nucleotide transfer-messenger RNA is filed under the name Armatimonadota. RNAcentral's name for it is "JAAYSP01 sp012518355 Standard tmRNA". It matches the Rfam family "transfer-messenger RNA". From Rfam's summary of the family: Bacterial tmRNA, also known as 10Sa RNA or SsrA, is named for its dual tRNA and mRNA-like properties. Its role is to liberate the mRNA from a stalled ribosome. The record is from RNAcentral. RNAcentral also lists the same sequence under 1 other name. Lineage: Bacteria; Bacillati.